RNAcentral lists this long non-coding RNA (275 nucleotides) under Pan troglodytes (chimpanzee). RNAcentral describes it as "long non-coding RNA NONPTRT005406". Lineage: Eukaryota; Metazoa; Chordata; Mammalia; Primates; Hominidae. The record is from RNAcentral.
UUGUUUUUUUCUUCACCCACUAAGGGAUCAGGGAAGACUUUCUGGAGGAGGUGUCAUCUAAGCUGUACAAUAAUAAGUGCUGUCAUAUAUUGAGCAUUUACUGAUAUUCUCUUCACUAAGUGCUUUGCUAAGCAUAUUAGCUCACAUAAUCUUCACAACAAUGCUAAAAAGUAGACAUUGCUAUUCUCAUUUUAGAGAGGGGAAACCGAGGCUCAGAGAAGUUCAUUAACUUUCCUAAGGCCACAACUUUCACUGCGAAAAAUCAGCAGAGCUGU